CACAGAGGAUCUCCAUUUACUGUGGAGGCACUGUUGUGAACUGCACUGGAGAAGUGAUGCCUGAGAAGGGUCCUGGUUGCAGGUGACUGUGGAUGUGGGACUGAGCUGGUUCCAGCGUAAACUGGCCCAGGCGAGACGCAGCAAAGACCUGCUCUUCCUCC
Nothoprocta perdicaria is the source of this 161-nucleotide long non-coding RNA. RefSeq lists it as uncharacterized. The transcript is spliced from 3 exons. NCBI's taxonomy places the organism in Eukaryota, Metazoa, Chordata, Aves, Tinamiformes, Tinamidae. The record is from RefSeq and is a predicted model, not a curated record.